This 468-nucleotide ribosomal RNA is filed under the name uncultured bacterium. RNAcentral describes it as "partial 16S ribosomal RNA". It matches the Rfam family "Bacterial small subunit ribosomal RNA", at positions 28 to 507 of the family's 1533-position model. The record is from RNAcentral.
GACGAACGCUGGCGGCGUGCUUAACACAUGCAAGUCGAACGGAAAGGCCCUGCUUUUGUGGGGUGCUCGAGUGGCGAACGGGUGAGUAACACGUGAGUAACCUGCCCUUGACUUUGGGAUAACUUCAGGAAACUGGGGCUAAUACCGGAUAGGAGCUCCUGCUGCAUGGUGGGGGUUGGAAAGUUUCGGCGGUUGGGGAUGGACUCGCGGCUUAUCAGCUUGUUGGUGGGGUAGUGGCUUACCAAGGCUUUGACGGGUAGCCGGCCUAGGAGGGUGACCGGCCACAUUGGGACUGGGAUACGGCCCAGACUCCUACGGGAGGCAGCAGUGGGGAAUAUUGCACAAUGGGCGGAAUCCUGAUGCAGCAACGCCGCGUGCGGGAUGACGGCCUUCGGGUUGUAAACCGCUUUCGCCUGUGACGAAGCGUGAGUGACGGUAAUGGGUAAAGAAGCACCGGCUAACUACGUG